ACAAAAUGCCUUUAGCUUGAUUUAUGGACUUGUUGUGACCUGUUUACUGUAGAAGACAUCAUGCCAUGCACCCAGGCUCCAACCUCAACCUUCAGCCGCCUUGCCAUCAUGAACCAGGCAGCCUUCCUUGACUCAGACUGAAGGACAGCUAUCGGGUCAACACAGCAUACCACUCUGUCUGGGCUUACUUCCUCCACGCACUGUAGGCCUAUGAUGACUGCCAUCACUUGGGCUGUAUAAACUGACAGCUGAUCAGAUCUCACUGACUCCUUGGGCCCAUGAAGAGGCUGGGUGGCCCCUCAUUAAGCACAGUCUGGAUUACAGCUCCUGGCCAAGGCUAUUUCCAACAACAUGCUAGUGCAUUGUAAUGAUCCUCUUUGUGUGCUGCGCAAACGCACUCAAUCUCCCACUUUAAUCACCAAGGAGGAGAUGGGCUACUCCUCCAGCCCUCAACAGGAGCAGUGAGAGGAAAGUGGGAUUUGCAAGUUCCUCCAUCCUCUGAUGACACAUAAUCUCCUUGUGAGAUAAGUGUUCUGUCACAAAGCUCUGAUUGACAUGAUGGAGGGAGUUAGAAGCAAAAGCUAGGAGAAAAGCUGAAAUGAUUCACGGGGGUGGUGAUCUUUUGUCUGUCUGAUCAUUCUGUCCGCCGUGUAGCUGCAGAUCAUCAGUAUGUCAAAGAGCUUAGAGGGAGAUUCAGGACAUUGUGGGCAGUUUAUAUGGUGUGUUGUCUUCUGCACGUACG
Molecule: long non-coding RNA, 742 nt
Organism: Etheostoma cragini (Arkansas darter)
Lineage: Eukaryota; Metazoa; Chordata; Actinopteri; Perciformes; Percidae
Exons: 3
Source: RefSeq, a predicted model, not a curated record